Molecule: long non-coding RNA, 1720 nt
Filed under: Sus scrofa (pig)
Lineage: Eukaryota; Metazoa; Chordata; Mammalia; Artiodactyla; Suidae
Description: lncRNA (ENSSSCG00065075081.1)
Source: RNAcentral
AGGGGAACAGAGCAUUCCAAGGCAAGACACCAACAAAGGCAAAGGCUUGGAGGUGGAAAAGUGAGGCUUGCAGCUCCACUCUCCUUUUCCCAUAUCCAAAUCCAGCCCGUCAUCUGAGACCCACACUGAGCCACCUCCCUCAUGAAGCCCUCCCAGAUACCUCAUGUCCUGCUGACCCUUCUCCUCUUCCUGGAGAACUCAGGCCUGGAGCGCUCAUCUGGCUUGAACUGCUUGGUUGGGUGGCGAGCCGGUUAUGCACACAAGCUCUGAGAGGCCUGGGGGAAGUUGCUUAACCUCUCCAGCCCUCAGUUCCUUCGCCUGUAGUUGAGAAUAAUAAUACCUAUCUUUCAGGGUUGCUGAGGGGAGAAUAUUGAUAGAUACAGAGUGCUGGGCACCUGGUGAAUACUGCGUCUUCAGAAAGGACUUCCCUGAUGGCCCUUUCUAGAUAAUCAUUUUUUUCUAGAGGUGGCUCCUGCAGAAUUGCCCAUCCCACGGGCCCUUUGGCCUCAUGGCUGCUCGGACCCCUAGUGUAGCGUGGAAGAGAUGUUUUGGGCCUGGCGCCUAACUGGCCUGGAAGUCAGCCACCCUGGAAGUGCAACAAGCCUGAGACCACAGAGCUGUGAGAAGCCCGAGCCACGUGGGGAGGAAGGGGAUCCAGGAGUGUCAGACACCAGCCCUGGGAGUGAGGACACCACCUUGAGGAGGUCCUGUCGUCACUGAGAUGCAGCAACUCGGACUCUAAGUGAGAAGGGGCUUCCCAACAUUGGCCUUAGUCCUCAUCGGACCAUGUUCUUGCCUGAUGAGCCAGGCUGGAGGAAGGCUCCAAGUGCUGGGUUUUCUCCUUGGGACUUUGUCCUGGGGAUCCUGGGGUAGGGGCUGGACUUGGGGAUCCCGUAGCCUCCCCUAACUGGAAAAAUAGCCGAGAACCCAGGGCAGGAACUGGGCAGAGAAAGAUGGGGGGCCCAGGUGGCUGAGGAGGGGAUGGCCUGAUAAUGUAACUGUCCUGGACAGUGCUCCCAGGAUUUCACAAGGAACAAAGCCCUGGCUUUGGGGCAUCUGGCUUUCUCAGCGAAGCCUGACAUCGCCAACGACUGGGAAACAGUGACAUCUGCCGGCUGCCUGAGGCCAGAGCCCUCCUCCUUGGUUGGAGAACCACAGGGCGUUAGACCAUCUUAGAAUCCUGGAACAAAGAGGAUUUGGCCUUUGAUUCAGCUGUCUGGGAGGAGCCCAGGAUUCUGCAUUUCUAACAAGCCGCUAAUACCACUGGGUCUGGGUCGGCAGUGCACCUUGUUUAGAAAGCUUUAUUUAUAUCAAUUAUAUCUCAGUAAAAUUGAAGGAGUUCCUGUCGUGGCGCAGUGGUUAACAAAUCCAACUAGGAACCAUGAGGUUGUGGGUUCGAUCCCUGGCCUUGCUCAGGGGGUCAAGGAUCCUGCGUUGCCGUGAGCUGUGGUGUAGGUUGAAGACGCGGCUCGGAUCCCUCGUUGCUGUGGCUCUGCCGUAAGCCAGUGGCUACAGCUCUGAUUAGACCCCUAGCCUGGGAAUCUCCAUAUGCUGCAGGAGCAGUCCUAGAAAAGGCAAAAAGACAAAAAGACAAAAAAAAAAAAAAAAAAAAAAAAAAAAAGGAGGAAAAAAUGUUUUAGGGGGCUCAGAGAUGAAUCAGAUCUGGUCCCAGACAUCCCAAGUGUCUUAGGGGUGCUUUUCCACAUAUAAAAUCUGUUGA